RNAcentral lists this ribosomal RNA (433 nucleotides) under uncultured bacterium. RNAcentral describes it as "partial 16S ribosomal RNA". It matches the Rfam family "Bacterial small subunit ribosomal RNA", at positions 29 to 507 of the family's 1533-position model. The record is from RNAcentral.
AACGAACGCUGGCGGCAUGCCUAACACAUGCAAGUCGAACGAAGCCUUCGGGCUUAGUGGCGCACGGGUGCGUAACGCGUGGGAAUCUGCCCCUUGCUUCGGAAUAACAGUUAGAAAUGACUGCUAAUACCGGAUGAAGUCUUCGGACCAAAGAUUUAUCGGCAAGGGUUGAGCCCGCGUAGGAUUAGGUAGUUGGUGGGGUAAAGGCCUACCAAGCCGACGAUCCUUAGCUGGUCUGAGAGGAUGAUCAGCCACACUGGGACUGAGACACGGCCCAGACUCCUACGGGAGGCAGCAGUGGGGAAUAUUGGACAAUGGACGCAAGUCUGAUCCAGCAAUGCCGCGUGAGUGAUGAAGGCCUUAGGGUUGUAAAGCUCUUUUAACAGGGAUGAUAAUGACAGUACCUGGCGAAUAAGCUCCGGCUAACUCCGUG